RNAcentral lists this unclassified non-coding RNA (3303 nucleotides) under Dimorphilus gyrociliatus. Its description in RNAcentral is "c2H2-type domain-containing protein". The record is from RNAcentral. Lineage: Eukaryota; Metazoa; Annelida; Polychaeta; Dinophilidae.
GCAUAAAUAGUUCGUCCACCAUAACAAAUCCCACAAACCCAUUUGUUUACGAAAUCGUUUUAAAUAACGUUUGAUAUCACUGUCUACUGGGUUGCCACGGUAUGUAAAAUUGUAUAAAAUUCACGAAAAGCGUUAAUAAUUAGCCUUGAACCCUAAAUAAAGUCAAAUAUUUUGUAUUAAGGAAAUUGCGUUUUACUAUAUUAAUUCCCAAUGAAAAAGAAAGACACUAUUUUUGGCCUACUUUCAUGAGCCAUUGUCAAUAGAUAUUGAUCUCUUAAAUGAGUCAUUUGGUUAAAAUAACUUAUUAAUACAUUUUAGUGAUGACAAUUGCUCACUACAAUUUUGUAAUCUUAAAGAGAAAGAAUAAGCGAAAACUGAAGGUUUUAAAAGGCUAAGAAAAAUGACGGACUUUGAAACUUUUGAGAAAAUCCCCCAGCAAACAAUAACAGAGGAAAAAAUGAAUUUCGCCCAAGUCAUAUUUCAAAAUAUUCAAGAAAGUUACCAGACUGGAUUAAACUUUGAUUGUAAAUACUCGUUCAGUAGCGCAAUGCAGUACAAUUCAAGGGAUUGGGUUGGAUUGUAUAAAGUAAGUAUUUUUCGUUUCUAAAAGAUUUCCUUACAGAUUACGUAAUAUUUUUCCCUUAAUCAUAGUCAAGUGUUCUAGCAAUCUAUCAAUGGUUGAUUGAUUGUCAUAUCGUGUAGACUAUAUAUUAGAAUAAUUGACCUUGAGAAGGUUAUUAAAAAUAUUAAUAUAUUUCUGAUUGUUCUGUUCAUAAUGUUCCUGGCUGAAAAAGUGUUUAGCUAUUAAUAUUUUAUUUUAUAAAUAUUAAUUAUUCAUUGGGUAUUUUAGGUUGGAUGGAGUAGUGCUAAUGAAUAUAUUCACUAUGUUUGGGCAAAAGAACCAAAUGAAAAAUUGGAAGCUGAUGUAACCUUUCCCGGUAAUUAGAUUCACUAUCCACAAAAUUCAUUAAUUUAUUCUCUUGCUGUACAACAGCUACAUGCAUUCCAAAUGACGAUACUGAAAUUUAUCAAUUUUGCUAUAUCACGAGCACGGGUGGCAUGCGAGGAGCAUCCAUGCCAUUCCAGUUUCGAAGUUUUAUUCCUGAAGAACUAGUACAGGUUGAGGAUGACACGGGUUUAUUGAUUGUUAAGAAACGUACAAAUGUCCUCGAGGAGCAAUUAAGUAAAGUAAUGAAAGAAAAGGAAGUUAUAUAUAAUCAAUUAGAAGAGACUCGGCAGCAAAAUUUUCAAAAUGAGAAGAAAAUAAUUGAACUGGAAGGAGAGAUAACUCAUAUCGAAACAGAAUUAGAAUCACAGACAAAAUUAUUACGUGGUGAGAGAGAUGCUCUAGAGGAAAACCUGGAUAAAUGCCGUCAAAGCUUAAAAGAAAAAACAGUUGCCUUAGAUUUGGCACUAACAGUUGAAGAAGAAUUGAAAAAUCAAGUUGCUGUAUUAGAGAGAGAGCUUGGUAUGAUAUCAAAGAAAGAAAUAGAAAUGCUAAGACAAACUGAUAAAGUUCAAGGAGAGAAUAAAAAUCUUAAUGAAAAAAUUGAACUCUUAGACAGCGCAUUAGCUGAAAGAUCGCAAAAGGAAGAGUGCUACAUGAAAAGAUUUACGGAAAUGAAAACGAUGUUGGGUAAUCUUGAAGUUAAGCACUCGGCAUUGCAAAAAACGUACGAUGAUACUUUAAUACGUUUGAAGGGUGAAAUUGCUAUCUCUAAACAUUAUAAAGAUGAUAUAUCUACUUUAAGUGAACGCUUAACAAACUACGAAGAUAAGUUAUCAGCGGGUGAAGAGUCAAAAUCAAUUAUGAGAAAAGAACUAUCAUCGAUUAAAGAAUUCAACGCUAAGCUAAAUCAAAAGUUUGAACAUAGUACAUCUGAAAAUGCAAAUUUAAAAAUGAGGCUAUCAGAAUUGGAAACGCUGCUACAGGAUCAAUCGAAAGAGACAAAUAGAGCUGUUGAGGAAGAAAGAGAAAAGUAUCGUUCGAUAAAGAGUUUAUAUGAUAAACUUAAAACCGAAAGUAAAGAUAUGGUUGCCGACGGUUCUAGAAUGGCUUUACAAACAGCCUAUGAUGAAGUUCGCAGUAGAUUCAGCAAAUUUCAAAAAGAAAAUGUUGACUUGAAAAGGCUUUUGACUGAUAUCGAAAAUUUGAAUAAGGAUUACGAACAAAGAGAGGAACACUUGAUGAAAGAGAAUGAGGAUUUAAAGAGAAGAUUACAAAUGGCAGGCGAAGAAUAUCGAACAAAAUAUGUUGAAUGUAUGAAACUACAGAAGCAAUGCACUAAACUUGAAAGAAAAGCUGAUUUAACUGAUUCAAUGAUAAAAGGAAAUGUUGGAUCGAAUGACGUUACUUGUGAAGCUUACGUAUGUUCAUCGGAUAGCGUCUGUCAGACAAAUGAGGCUGAAGUACAUGAAAUUGAGCUACAUAAUAAAAUAAAAGAACUUUUGCAACAACAAGAACAUACUGACAGACAUCUUGAGAGAGUAAAAGUUCAAGCAGCAGAAAGUCAAUCAACAAUUGAAAAGUUAAACAAUGAAUUGGAAGAAAUGAAAAAAAUAUAUUUGAAAAAAUGUGCUGAAGUUGAUGAAUUACGUAAUAAGGUUAUCGACAAACAGCUUGAGGAAAAUAUUGAAAUGGUUGAAAAGAAAGAAAAAAGUUUUGCAGUGAGAAUACCCGUUACAGAAUAUCGUGGUGUUAGUGGUUUACCAGAACCCCUCGAACCAGUAAAAUUACAUACCGCAAAAACAGCAGCAGUCAAAGGAACAUUUUCACCACCAGAAUCAACCUGGGUAUAUCCUUGCAACAGCGGGCCCCCUUAUCCCGUUACAGGAAAUAUUAUACCUGAAUUGAACGAUCACGAUGAUGACAGAUUUCAAGAUGCUGUCGGAGAGCCUCAGCUUUUGUGUCCAGUUUGUAAUCAUACCUUUUUGUCUACAAGCGAUUUGAUAACACAUGUUGAGUCUCACAACCUAGAAAAAUAUUGUCCAGUUUGUUCAAAUUUAAUGGAUAACGUCAGCCAAAAAGAAUAUGAAAACCAUGUGAAUGAGUGUAAAUAAACUGGAUUGUCCAAUUACUUCACAUUAGACUUUGUUUAUUAGCCGAUAAUUAUUAUAUGGUGAAUUGACGCUUCUUCCUAUACUUUCGUUGUAGCUUAAGAACACCUUCUACCCCAAGCUGACGACUUACACGUUAUAAUCGAUAUCUACAAAUUACCCUCUACGUCUGUUAAGCACCAGUAUAGAUUUAGUAAAGAAAUCUCUUUAAUGUUUUUAAGUGUCUGAUCUAAAUAAAUAUUACAA